UUAUUUAUUUGUUUGUUUUCAGACAGCAAUGAUAGAGAAUUUAAAAUCCUUUGGCGAGCACUUGCCGACGAAUCGACACGUUCUGGACAGAGCAUGGCUCGCCAAAGCAACAGAGAUAUGUAGACAGAGGGUGAAGAGUAGGGCCGAAACCCCGGAGAGCGGACUCUCCUUCUCUUUAAUGAUCCUUCCGCAGGUUCACCUACGGAAA
Molecule: unclassified non-coding RNA, 208 nt
Filed under: uncultured fungus
Lineage: Eukaryota; Fungi
Description: sequence contains ITS1
Source: RNAcentral